GACAGAGGCCUCAAGCGUUAGGCGGAAUCACUGGGCUUAAAGCGUGUGUAGGCGGAUCGUUAAGUGUCUUGUGAAAUCCCACGGCUCACCCGUGGAACUGCUGGGCAUACUGGGCGUCUUGGGCCAACUAGGGGCAGCCGGAACAAGCGGUGGAGCGGUGAAAUGCGUAGAUAUCGCUUGGAACGCCGAAGGUGAAAACAGGCUGCUGGGGUUGUGCCGACGCUGAGACACGAAAGCCAGGGGGAGCAAACGGG
Molecule: ribosomal RNA, 254 nt
Filed under: uncultured bacterium
Lineage: Bacteria
Description: partial 16S ribosomal RNA
Rfam family: Bacterial small subunit ribosomal RNA
Source: RNAcentral